This 1369-nucleotide ribosomal RNA is filed under the name metagenome. RNAcentral describes it as "bacterial SSU rRNA". It matches the Rfam family "Bacterial small subunit ribosomal RNA", at positions 100 to 1465 of the family's 1533-position model. The record is from RNAcentral.
GAACGGGUGAGUAAUGCAUCGGAACGUGCCAUUGAGUGGGGGAUAACGUAGCGAAAGUUGCGCUAAUACCGCAUAUUCUGUGAGCAGGAAAGCAGGGGACCGCAAGGCCUUGCGCUCUUUGAGCGGCCGAUGUCAGAUUAGCUAGUUGGUGAGGUAACGGCUUACCAAGGCGACGAUCUGUAGCGGGUCUGAGAGGAUGAUCCGCCACACUGGAACUGAGACACGGUCCAGACUCCUACGGGAGGCAGCAGUGGGGAAUUUUGGACAAUGGGGGCAACCCUGAUCCAGCCAUGCCGCGUGAGUGAAGAAGGCCUUCGGGUUGUAAAGCUCUUUCGGCCGGGAAGAAAUCGCAUGGGCCAAUACUCUGUGUGGAUGACGGUACCGGAAUAAGAAGCACCGGCUAACUACGUGCCAGCAGCCGCGGUAAUACGUAGGGUGCGAGCGUUAAUCGGAAUUACUGGGCGUAAAGCGUGCGCAGGCGGUUUUGUAAGACAGGCGUGAAAUCCCCGGGCUCAACCUGGGAACUGCGUUUGUGACUGCAAGGCUAGAGUACGGCAGAGGGGGGUGGAAUUCCACGUGUAGCAGUGAAAUGCGUAGAGAUGUGGAGGAACACCAAUGGCGAAGGCAGCCCCCUGGGUCGAUACUGACGCUCAUGCACGAAAGCGUGGGUAGCAAACAGGAUUAGAUACCCUGGUAGUCCACGCCCUAAACUAUGUCAACUAGGUGUUGGGUGGGUAAAACCAUUUAGUACCGUAGCUAACGCGUGAAGUUGACCGCCUGGGGAGUACGGCCGCAAGGUUAAAACUCAAAGGAAUUGACGGGGACCCGCACAAGCGGUGGAUGAUGUGGAUUAAUUCGAUGCAACGCGAAAAACCUUACCUACCCUUGACAUGCCAGGAACUUGCCAGAGAUGGCUUGGUGCCCGAAAGGGAGCCUGGACACAGGUGCUGCAUGGCUGUCGUCAGCUCGUGUCGUGAGAUGUUGGGUUAAGCCCGCAACGAGCGCAACCCUUGUCGUUAAUUGCCAUCAUUUAGUUGGGCACUUUAGCGAGACUGCCGGUGACAAACCGGAGGAAGGUGGGGAUGACGUCAAGUCCUCAUGGCCCUUAUGGGUAGGGCUCCACACGUCAUACAAUGGUCGGUACAGAGGGUCGCCAAGCCGCGAGGUGGAGCCAAUCCCAGAAAGCCGAUCGUAGUCCGGAUUGCAGGCUGCAACUCGCCUGCAUGAAGUCGGAAUCGCUAGUAAUCGUGGAUCAGCAUGUCACGGUGAAUACGUUCCCGGGUCUUGUACACACCGCCCGUCACACCAUGGGAGCGGGUUCCGCCAGAAGUAGGUAGCCUAACCGCAAGGAGGGCGCUUACCACGGCGG